This 440-nucleotide ribosomal RNA is filed under the name uncultured bacterium. RNAcentral's name for it is "partial 16S ribosomal RNA". It matches the Rfam family "Bacterial small subunit ribosomal RNA", at positions 338 to 795 of the family's 1533-position model. The record is from RNAcentral.
CCUACGGGUGACAGCAGUGGGGAAUAUUGCACAAUGGGGGAAACCCUGAUGCAGCAACGCCGCGUGGGUGACGAAGUAUUUCGGUAUUUAAAGCCCUAUAAGCAGGGAAAAGAAUGACGUUACCUGACUAAAAAUCCCCGGCUAACUACGUGCCACCAGCGGCGGUAAUACGUAGGGGGCAAGCGUUAUCCGGAUUUACUGGGUGUAAAGGGGGCGUAGACGGUUGGGCAAGUCUGAAGUGAAAGCCCGCGGCUGAACUGCGGAACGGCGUUGGAAACUGUGUAACUGGAGUGUUGGAGAGGUAAGCGGAAUUCCUGGUGUAGCGGUGAAAUGCGUAGAGAUCAGGAGGAACACCGGCGGCGAAGGCGGCUUACUGGACAGUAACUGACGUUGAGGCUCGAAAGCGUGGGGAGCAAACAGGAUUAGAUACCCUUGUAGUC